RNAcentral lists this ribosomal RNA (253 nucleotides) under uncultured bacterium. Its description in RNAcentral is "partial 16S ribosomal RNA". It matches the Rfam family "Bacterial small subunit ribosomal RNA", at positions 524 to 776 of the family's 1533-position model. The record is from RNAcentral.
UACGUAGGCAGCAAGCGUUGUUCGGAGUUACUGGGCGUAAAGGGUGUGUAGGCGGUUGUUUAAGUUUGGUGUGAAAUCUCCCGGCUCAACUGGGAGGGUGCGCCGAAUACUGAAUGACUAGAGUGCGGGAGAGGAGAGUGGAAUUCCUGGUGUAGCGGUGAAAUGCGUAGAUAUCAGGAGGAACACCGGUGGUGUAGACGGCUUUCUGGACCGUAACUGACGCUGAGACACGAAAGCGUGGGUAGCAAACAGG